AUGAACGCUGGCGGCGUGCCUCAUACAUGCAAGUCGAGCGCACAGACGAGGAGCUUGCUCCUCUGACGUUAGCGGCGGACGGGUGAGUAACACGUGGAUAACCUACCUAUAAGACUGGGAUAACUUCGGGAAACCGGAGCUAAUACCGGAUAAUAUAUUGAACCGCAUGGUUCAAUAGUGAAAGACGGUUUUGCUGUCACUUAUAGAUGGAUCCGCGCCGCAUUAGCUAGUUGGUAAGGUAACGGCUUACCAAGGCGACGAUGCGUAGCCGACCUGAGAGGGUGAUCGGCCACACUGGAACUGAGACACGGUCCAGACUCCUACGGGAGGCAGCAGUAGGGAAUCUUCCGCAAUGGGCGAAAGCCUGACGGAGCAACGCCGCGUGAGUGAUGAAGGUCUUCGGAUCGUAAAACUCUGUUAUUAGGGAAGAACAAAUGUGUAAGUAACUAUGCACGUCUUGACGGUACCUAAGCAGAAAGCCACGGCUAACUACGU
Molecule: ribosomal RNA, 495 nt
Filed under: uncultured bacterium
Lineage: Bacteria
Description: partial 16S ribosomal RNA
Rfam family: Bacterial small subunit ribosomal RNA
Source: RNAcentral